This 207-nucleotide ribosomal RNA is filed under the name uncultured bacterium. RNAcentral's name for it is "partial 16S ribosomal RNA". It matches the Rfam family "Bacterial small subunit ribosomal RNA", at positions 568 to 774 of the family's 1533-position model. The record is from RNAcentral.
CAUGUAGGCGGUUUUUUAAAGUCUGGAGUGAAAAUGCGGGGCUCAACCCCGUAUGGCUCUGGAUACUGGAAGACUUGAGUGCAGGAGAGGAAAGGGGAAUUCCCAGUGUAGCGGUGAAAUGCGUAGAUAUUGGGAGGAACACCAGUGGCGAAGGCGCCUUUCUGGACUGUGUCUGACGCUGAGAUGCGAAAGCCAGGGUAGCGAACG